GGUGUAGCCAAGCGGUAAGGCAGCGGACUUUGACUCCGCCAGUCGCCGGUUCAAAUCCGGCCGC
RNAcentral lists this transfer RNA (64 nucleotides) under human gut metagenome. It matches the Rfam family "tRNA", at positions 5 to 66 of the family's 71-position model. From Rfam's summary of the family: Transfer RNA (tRNA) molecules are approximately 80 nucleotides in length. Their secondary structure includes four short double-helical elements and three loops (D, anti-codon, and T loops). The record is from RNAcentral.